GGCUCAGGACGAACGCUGGCGGCGUGCCUAAUACAUGCAAGUCGAGCGGAAAUUUAUUGGUGCUUGCACCUUAAAAUUUAGCGGCGGACGGGUGAGUAACACGUGGGUAACCUACCUUAUAGAUUGGGAUAACUCCGGGAAACCGGGGCUAAUACCGAAUAACACUUUUUAACACAUGUUUUAAAGUUGAAAGACGGUCUUGCUGUCACUGUAAGAUGGACCCGCGGCGCAUUAGCUAGUUGGUGAGGUAACGGCUCACCAAGGCAACGAUGCGUAGCCGACCUGAGAGGGUGAUCGGCCACACUGGGACUGAGACACGGCCCAGACUCCUACGGGAGGCAGCAGUAGGGAAUCUUCCACAAUGGACGAAAGUCUGAUGGAGCAACGCCGCCGUGAGUGAAGAAGGAUUUCGGUUACGUAAAACUCUGUUGCAAGGGAAGAACAAGUAGCGUAGUAACUGGCGCUACCUUGACGGUACCUUGUUAGAAGCCACGGCUAACUACGUGCCAGCCGCCGC
Molecule: ribosomal RNA, 517 nt
Filed under: uncultured bacterium
Lineage: Bacteria
Description: bacterial SSU rRNA
Rfam family: Bacterial small subunit ribosomal RNA
Source: RNAcentral